This 1020-nucleotide ribosomal RNA is filed under the name Alternaria dennisii. RNAcentral describes it as "SSU rRNA". It matches the Rfam family "Eukaryotic small subunit ribosomal RNA", at positions 75 to 1104 of the family's 1831-position model. The record is from RNAcentral. Lineage: Eukaryota; Fungi; Ascomycota; Dothideomycetes; Pleosporales; Pleosporaceae.
UAUACCGUGAAACUGCGAAUGGCUCAUUAAAUCAGUUAUCGUUUAUUUGAUAAUACCUUACUACUUGGAUAACCGUGGUAAUUCUAGAGCUAAUACAUGCUGAAAAUCCCGACUUCGGAAGGGAUGUGUUUAUUAGAUAAAAAACCAAUGCCCUUCGGGGCUUUUUGGUGAUUCAUGAUAACUUUACGGAUCGCAUAGCCUUGCGCUGGCGACGGUUCAUUCAAAUUUCUGCCCUAUCAACUUUCGAUGGUAAGGUAUUGGCUUACCAUGGUUUCAACGGGUAACGGGGAAUUAGGGUUCGAUUCCGGAGAGGGAGCCUGAGAAACGGCUACCACAUCCAAGGAAGGCAGCAGGCGCGCAAAUUACCCAAUCCCGACACGGGGAGGUAGUGACAAUAAAUACUGAUACAGGGCUCUUUUGGGUCUUGUAAUCGGAAUGAGUACAAUUUAAACCUCUUAACGAGGAACAAUUGGAGGGCAAGUCUGGUGCCAGCAGCCGCGGUAAUUCCAGCUCCAAUAGCGUAUAUUAAAGUUGUUGCAGUUAAAAAGCUCGUAGUUGAAACUUGGGCCUGGCUGGCGGGUCCGCCUCACCGCGUGCACUCGUCCGGCCGGGCCUUCCUUCUGACGAACCUCAUGCCCUUCACUGGGCGUGCUGGGGAAUCAGGACUUUUACUUUGAAAAAAUUAGAGUGUUCAAAGCAGGCCUUUGCUCGAAUACGUUAGCAUGGAAUAAUAAAAUAGGGCGUGCGUUUCUAUUUUGUUGGUUUCUAGAGACGCCGCAAUGAUUAACAGGAACAGUCGGGGGCAUCAGUAUUCAGUUGUCAGAGGUGAAAUUCUUGGAUUUACUGAAGACUAACUACUGCGAAAGCAUUUGCCAAGGAUGUUUUCAUUAAUCAGUGAACGAAAGUUAGGGGAUCGAAGACGAUCAGAUACCGUCGUAGUCUUAACCGUAAACUAUGCCGACUAGGGAUCGGGCGAUGUUCUUUUUCUGACUCGCUCGGCACCUUACGAGAAAUCAAAGU